UCCCUGGUUGAUCCUGCCAGUAGUCAUAUGCUUGUCUCAAAGAUUAAGCCAUGCAUGUCUCAGUGCAAGCCGCAUUAAGGUGAAACCGCGAAAGGCUCAUUAAAUCAGUUGUGGUUCCUUAGAUCGUACCCAAGUUACUUGGAUAACUGUGGUAAUUCUAGAGCUAAUACAUGCCGACAGAGUUCCGACCGUCGCGGCGCCCUCGGGCGUCGCUCGCGGGAGGAACGCUUUUAUUAGAUCAAAACCGGCCCGUCGCGGCGUGCUUCGUGCGCGUCCCGAUCGCGGCCCGCGCAAAGACCUGGUGACUCUGAAUAACUUCGAGCUGAUCGCACGGUCUCCGUACCGGCGACGCAUCUUUCAAAUGUCUGCCUUAUCAACUGUCGAUGGUAGGUUCCAUGCCUACCAUGGUGGUAACGGGUAACGGGGAAUCAGGGUUCGAUUCCGGAGAGGGAGCCUGAGAAACGGCUACCACAUCCAAGGAAGGCAGCAGGCGCGCAAAUUACCCACUCCCGGAACGGGGAGGUAGUGACGAAAAAUAACGAUACGGGACUCAUCCGAGGCCCCGUAAUCGGAAUGAGAACACUUUAAAACCUUUAAACGAGGAUCAAUUGGAGGGCAAGUCUGGUGCCAGCAGCCGCGGUAAUUCCAGCUCCAAUAGCGUAUAUUAAAGUUGUUGCGGUUAAAAAGCUCGUAGUCGGAUCUGUGUCUGGACGGUGCCGGACCACCCUGGCGGUCCGUCGUGUCGCGGCCGGCCGUGUCGCGGGACCACGUGUCCCGUCGGCGCGGUCGCCGUCGCGCUCGUCAGCCGUCUCGGGGUGUUAGUUACCGGCACGUCGGCCGGACGUAUUGUCGGCAGGCGGACACGUGUCUCGUGCUUCCGGCGCGCCGCGCGGCCACGCGUCGCGCGGCCGUCGGUGUUCGACGACGGCGGCCGCCUACUCCAAUCUUGCUGCGCGGUGCUCUUCACCGAGUGCCGUCGGCGGGACCGACACGUUUACUUUGAACAAAUUAGAGUGCUCAAAGCAGGCUCGAAUCUGGCGGG
Non-coding RNA from Acyrthosiphon pisum (pea aphid), 1042 nucleotides. NCBI's taxonomy places the organism in Eukaryota, Metazoa, Arthropoda, Insecta, Hemiptera, Aphididae. The record is from Rfam.